GGAGGUGGUAGGCCUGCAAAGUGCGCUACAUCCUGUGGCAAAGCAGACAUGACCCGCAUCCUGCUUG
RNAcentral lists this small RNA (67 nucleotides) under Psychrobacillus sp. OK032. RNAcentral describes it as "Bacillaceae-1 RNA". It matches the Rfam family "Bacillaceae-1 RNA". Lineage: Bacteria; Bacillati; Bacillota; Bacilli; Caryophanales; Bacillaceae. The record is from RNAcentral.